Molecule: long non-coding RNA, 588 nt
Filed under: Helianthus annuus (common sunflower)
Lineage: Eukaryota; Viridiplantae; Streptophyta; Magnoliopsida; Asterales; Asteraceae
Description: hypothetical non coding rna
Source: RNAcentral
UUCCCAUUAGCCAUGUUAAUUGGGACAACAAUAAAAGCAGCAACAACAACGUUAUCAUCGAUCAUCAUCUUAGAGCAAGCGAAAUCUACUUUGUAAUUGUGUUAGAACAACCCUAGCCUCACCCGUCAACAGUUUACACGCCAUUUUUUUCUGCUUUUUGCAAGAUAUAUUACACAGCAGCAGCCAUCGUAUUUCCAGAUCUACCCUGUUCAUACAUUAAACCCUCGCCGGUGGCUUUACAGUUACAAAGUGUUGCCGCCACUCCUUUGUAGAUCUUGUUCCCGUUUACAUCUAUCCUUGUCGUUGCUCUUCACUAACGGAUCUCGGUCUGUGCUUGAUUCUGAAAUAGGUGUAUUGAUGAAAAGGUUCUGAAAUGGUUUGGGGGGCUGCAAAAGUGGAAACAAAGCAGGAAAAGAAAGACAUCCAUGAGAGAUGGAAGGCUCUCAUGUGAGGCGUAGCGAUCGAAAAUAACCGGAAUCCGGUUGCUUUGUGUUCGGAGUCAACCGGAAGAGCGAAUUUCUGGUAACUUGUGUCUAAAUUUUGUAAGAUUUCCAUUGUGUUUGGAAUGAAAUAAAACAAAUGAAACAA